GACGAACGCUGGCGGCGUGCUUAACACAUGCAAGUCGAACGGAAAGUCCCGGCUUUUGUGCGCUGCUCGAGUGGCCAACGGGUGACUAACACUUGAGUAACCUACCCCUGACUUUUGGAUAACUUCAUGAAACUUGGGCUAAUACCGCAUAGGAGCUCCUGCCUCAUGGUGGGGGUUGGAAAGUUUCGGCGGUUGGGGAUGUACUCGCGGCUUAUCAGCUUGUUGGUGGGGUAGUGGCUUACCAAGGCUUUGAGAGGUAGCCGGCCUGGGAGGGUCACCGGAACAACUGGGCUUGAGAUGAGGCACAGACUACUCAGGGAGGCGACAGUGGGGUAGAUAGUAUAAUAGGCGGAGGGAUAGUGUAGCAAAGCAGUGCGGGGGAAGAAGGGAUUGGGGUUGUAUACUGAUUCUGUUUGUGACGAAAUGUGAGUGACGGUAAUGGGUAAAGAAGCACCGGCUAACUACGUG
Molecule: ribosomal RNA, 468 nt
Filed under: uncultured bacterium
Lineage: Bacteria
Description: partial 16S ribosomal RNA
Rfam family: Bacterial small subunit ribosomal RNA
Source: RNAcentral